GACGAACGCUGGCGGCGUGCUUAACACAUGCAAGUCGAACGGUAAGGCCCUUCGGGGUACACGAGUGGCGAACGGGUGAGUAACACGUGGGUGAUCUGCCCUGCACUUCGGGAUCAGCCUGGGAAACUGGGUCUAAUACCGGAUAGGACUCCUGGCUUCAUGGUUGGGGGUGGCAAGCUUUUGCGGUGUGGGAUGGGCCCGCGGCCUAUCAGCUUGUUGGUGGGGUAAUGGCCGACCAAGGCGACGACGGGUAGCCGGCCUGAGAGGGUGACCGGUCACACUGGGACUGAGAUACGGCCCAGACGCCUACGGGAGGCAGCAGUGGGGAAUAUUGCACAAUGGGCGCAAGCCUGAUGCAGCGACGCCGCGUGAGGGAUGACGGCCUUCGGGUUGUAAACCUCUUUCAGCUAUGACGAAGCGCAAGUGACGGUAGUAGCAGAAGAAGGACCGGCCAACUACGUGCCAGCCGCCGCCGUAA
This 478-nucleotide ribosomal RNA is filed under the name uncultured bacterium. RNAcentral's name for it is "partial 16S ribosomal RNA". It matches the Rfam family "Bacterial small subunit ribosomal RNA", at positions 28 to 523 of the family's 1533-position model. The record is from RNAcentral.